UACGGGGGGUGCAAGCGUUGUCCGGAAUCAUUGGGCGUAAAGCGUUCGUAGGCGGCACGUCAAGUUUGGUGUCAAAGCCCGGGGCUCAACUCCGGUUCGGCAUUGGAUACUGGCGAGCUAGAAUGCGGUAGAGGUUAAGGGAAUUCCUGGUGAAGUGGUGAAAUACAUAGAUAUCAGGAGGAACACCGGUGGCGAAAGCGCUUAACUGGGCCGUUAUUGACGCUAAAGAACGAAAGCCAGGGGAGCAAAU
This 250-nucleotide ribosomal RNA is filed under the name uncultured prokaryote. Its description in RNAcentral is "partial 16S ribosomal RNA". It matches the Rfam family "Bacterial small subunit ribosomal RNA", at positions 524 to 773 of the family's 1533-position model. The record is from RNAcentral.